Molecule: non-coding RNA, 159 nt
Filed under: bovine gut metagenome
Description: FMN riboswitch (RFN element)
Rfam family: FMN riboswitch aptamer (RFN element)
About the family: The RFN element is a highly conserved domain that is found frequently in the 5'-untranslated regions of prokaryotic mRNAs that encode for flavin mononucleotide (FMN) biosynthesis and transport proteins.
Source: RNAcentral
UUCUUCAGGGCAGGGUGAAAUUCCCGACCGGCGGUGAUCGAAACGUCUCCUGAUCGCGACACCAUGCGACCGGAGCCGCGUUUCCCAAGUCCGCGAGCCAUAUCUGGCACGAACCGGUGCGAUUCCGGUACCGACAGUACAGUCUGGAUGGAAGAGGAA